CAGAAGUAAUGCCAUUGAAUCCAUCCUUGGAUCUAGGAGUGAAGAAUGGACAUUUGGGAGGGCUCCCACCGUCUUUGAUUUGCUUCGGAGUGGCGGGUCUGGAAGGCAUGGGGACCUUAAGUCGGGAGUCUGUGGGAUUCCCCUACAAAACUUGGACGGUGGUUGGUUGGAGGUCUUCAUGGGAGCCGCGGCUCGAGGUUUUGGAGACCGAGUUGCGGAGCGCAGGGACAGCAUAUCCAAGGGUGGCCUCAAUGCUGCCAUAGGCUUGGGGGCUUUUGAGAAGAACAUUGGGAUCUCCUGGCAGGACUCACAGGUCGUGGGAGGCAUUUCUGACCAUGGGGCCCUGCCUACAGCGGGG
Molecule: long non-coding RNA, 358 nt
Filed under: Androctonus crassicauda
Lineage: Eukaryota; Metazoa; Arthropoda; Arachnida; Scorpiones; Buthidae
Source: RNAcentral